Long non-coding RNA from Micropterus dolomieu (smallmouth bass), 922 nucleotides. RefSeq lists it as uncharacterized. The record is from RefSeq and is a predicted model, not a curated record. The transcript is spliced from 8 exons. NCBI's taxonomy places the organism in Eukaryota, Metazoa, Chordata, Actinopteri, Centrarchiformes, Centrarchidae.
AUGUAUGUAAAUGUAACGUAAUGUAGGAAAGGAAACGUGGAAGUUAAAAUACUGAAAUAAAUACUGAUAACAGUGUGCGUUUUGGUGGCUUUUGAACAGUUUUUUGGCUGGAAUUCAGCUGGAUCUGGCAACACUGCCCUCUGGUCCCACAGUCACACAGACCACUGCAGCCAACGCACAGGACAACUCCACCAACAACAGGAGAGGAAAACACAGCUUAUUAUAGACAUGGAUGGACUGACCGAGAUUGGCACCCGCUCUCCUGCUAGUGGGCCGGUGCUGUUGGUACAUGGAGGAGAAGCACAGCACACUGUCCAGUGUAGAAAUAGACACAAGCCCACGGUGUGGUCUCACAUGAGUGGAGCUUCACACAUCUGAGUGCCCAUCCUCAUUUUUUUCCCCAGCAACUAUGGAAAAAAUAUCAACCCUAAAACAACAACAACAUAAAUCAUCAGUGUGUCGCUGAGUUUGAACUGAAGUGAUUAAGUUUGAAGACAUUCUGACGUCAACAGGACAGAGGCAUCCCACUGCCCAGAGCACAGGUCAGACCAAUGACUUUGGCCACAAACGUCUUAAAAGUCAGGUACUCCUUCAGGACCACCCCCCUCAGUAUCGUCUUCAUCUCAGGAAUGCCUGAACCUGGGAGAUGAAAGGACAGAGGCGCCAGCCUGAGGUGACAGUAUCUGUGUGAAUCCUGCUGAGAAAGUGAUGAGCACUACAGGAAGGCGAUGGCGUAGUCCAUGACCCAGCUGACCAGAGCCAUGAGCAGCCCCAGCAGAAUGAGGAAGAUCCAGUCCUCCCCCACCCGUGAGAUCAGGAACUUCUGGCAGCGAGACGCACACACUAAGGACACACAGACAGAAAGAGACAAAGGAAAGCAAAAAAGUAAAAUCUCUGAAAUAAAUCUUCAAGGUGUGAAGGA